GACGAACGCUGGCGGCGUGCCUAAUACAUGCAAGUCGAGCGGACAGAUGGGAGCUUGCUCCCUGAUGUUAGCGGCGGACGGGUGAGUAACACGUGGGUAACCUGCCUGUAAGACUGGGAUAACUCCGGGAAACCGGGGCUAAUACCGGAUGCUUGUUUGAACCGCAUGGUUCAAACAUAAAAGGUGGCUUCGGCUACCACUUACAGAUGGACCCGCGGCGCAUUAGCUAGUUGGUGAGGUAACGGCUCACCAAGGCAACGAUGCGUAGCCGACCUGAGAGGGUGAUCGGCCACACUGGGACUGAGACACGGCCCAGACUCCUACGGGAGGCAGCAGUAGGGAAUCUUCCGCAAUGGACGAAAGUCUGACGGAGCAACGCCGCGUGAGUGAUGAAGGUUU
RNAcentral lists this ribosomal RNA (399 nucleotides) under Bacillus sp. IC79. Its description in RNAcentral is "bacterial SSU rRNA". It matches the Rfam family "Bacterial small subunit ribosomal RNA", at positions 28 to 417 of the family's 1533-position model. Lineage: Bacteria; Bacillati; Bacillota; Bacilli; Caryophanales; Bacillaceae. The record is from RNAcentral.